GCUAAGAAUAUUCCGCAAUGGACGGAAGUCUGACGGAGCGACGCCGCGUGGAUGACGAAGGCCGAAAGGUUGUAAAGUUCUUUUGCUGGGGAAGAAUAACCGCAGGAGGGAAUGCCUGUGGGAUGACAAGAACCGGCGAAUAAGCCCCGGCCAACUACGUGCCAGCAGCCGCGGUAACACGUAGGGGGCGAGCGUUGUUCGGAAUUACUGGGCGUAAAGGGCAUGUAGGCGGCUUGGAAAGCCUGGCGUGAAAGUCUGCAGCUUAACUGCAGGGGUGCGCUGGGAACUGCUGAGCUUGAGUGACGGAGAGGGAGCUGUAAUUCCUGGUGUAGGGGUGAAAUCUGUAGAUAUCAGGAAGAACACCGAUGGCGAAGGCAAGCUCCUGGCCGAUGACUGACGCUGAGGUGCGAAAGUGUGGGGAUCAAACAGGAUUAGAAACCCUGGUAGUCC
RNAcentral lists this ribosomal RNA (450 nucleotides) under uncultured bacterium. RNAcentral's name for it is "partial 16S ribosomal RNA". It matches the Rfam family "Bacterial small subunit ribosomal RNA", at positions 354 to 796 of the family's 1533-position model. The record is from RNAcentral.